Molecule: non-coding RNA, 135 nt
Organism: Triticum aestivum (bread wheat)
Lineage: Eukaryota; Viridiplantae; Streptophyta; Magnoliopsida; Poales; Poaceae
Source: Rfam
AUGAUACUCCCUUCGCCUCAAAAUUCUUGUCUUAGAUUUGUCUAAAUACAGAUGUAUCAAGUCACGUUUUAGUAUUAGAUACAUCUGUAUCUAGUCAAAUCUAAGACAAGAAUUUUGGGACGGAGGGAGUAUAUA